This 1435-nucleotide unclassified non-coding RNA is filed under the name Monomorium pharaonis (pharaoh ant). RNAcentral's name for it is "mitochondrial inner membrane protease ATP23 homolog, transcript variant X1". The record is from RNAcentral. Lineage: Eukaryota; Metazoa; Arthropoda; Insecta; Hymenoptera; Formicidae.
AUGACAAUCAAAAAUGAAAAAGUAAAUGAAGGAAAAAGAGAUGAAAGUGGUGUUGCCGAAGAAGCAACUGCGAAUAAUGAUUUAUGGGAAUCUGAUAUGUAUCCAGAAAGAAGAGGAGGGCAGUAUAAGAAGAGUUGGUUUAAAAGAUUAAUUGGUGCUCAGGGACGAGAAUCGAUAGACAAAAAUAAAUGUGAAGACAAUGUUUAUAGAUGUAUAAAAAAUAGUCCUAUAAUAAAACUUAUGAUGGGAGCAUUGAAAGGUUCUGGAUGUGAAAUAGAUAUUCGUCGACAUAUUUCUUGUGAGGUAUGUAAUCCAAUUGUAACUGGUGGAUACGAUUCAGAAUAUAAUCAGAUAGUUGUCUGUCAAAAUUCGGCGAGUAAUGAAAACAUGGUUCGGAGUGUUCUUUUACAUGAAAUGAUUCAUAUGUUUGACUACUGUCGUAACAAAGUAGAUGUAACUAAUAUCGAUCACAUAGCCUGUACAGAAAUUAGAGCAGCAAAUCUUGCACAUUGUAGUUUUAUGGGCUCACUUUUACAAGGUGAUUCAUCUUUUAUUAACAUAAAAGCAACACAUCAGAAUUGUGUAAAAACUAAGGCUAAGAUGUCUGUAAUGGGUGCACGCAAAGUAUCAGCAGAAGUUGCAGAAGCAGCUAUAGAAAGAGUAUUUACAAAAUGCUAUAAUGAUUUAGAACCAAUUGGCAGAAGAAUUCGUAGAAAUUCUUAUGAUAUGCCAAGAGCAUAUGCGGAAGGACAUUUAUAUGGAUAUGAUAUUGUUGAGCUCAGAGGAUACCAUUAAAGUCCUGAGGAUACGAUUGCGUGACUCAAAAUUAAACAAAGACAGAUUGCAGCGUGACAUUUGUCUAAUGAGAGAGAUUUCUCAUUAAUAAUAUUGAAAUUACAAUGUAUGCGCGCUCAUGAAUUGGACAAUCGCAAGUUAUCCGUGACCUUUCUUGGCCGCGAUGGCAUGUCAACCGCGGCCGAUAUUAAUGGCGCCGAACCGCAGUGGCGAGGUGAGAAAAUUUUAUGAACACCGUGUAAAAAGACGUUGAAAAUGUUCGUGCGCGGGGUCGACCGACAUUAUUUCAACACGUGAAUGUACGUAUGCGCUAAUACACACCGGGAAGAUUUAACUUGAGCAGUAAUUAGCUCGUUGUAGCGCACGUUGCUACACGUACGUAUCGCCUGGAUGUUACGUCAUGAAAUCGCAUCCAAUUUCUGAUUUAUGAGACAAUUGGAAAUGUCAACGAGCGAAAAAGAUGAUUAGAAACGGUUAUUAACGUUAAGAUAAACGAAUUAACCAUGAUGGAUAUAUAUAUCUUAGAUAAACGCGGUGGUUCUAAUAGAAUUCAGUAGAAGUUUAUGUGCAUAGAGUCAGAGUUAUUGAAAGUAUAUUGUAUUUCCCGUUAAUGUAAAAUAAAUUUGCAAUUACAAUGCAA